CGGCACGGGUGAGUAACACGUAUCCAACCUGCCGUCUACUCUUGGACAGCCUUCUGAAAGGAAGAUUAAUACAAGAUGGCAUCAUGAGUCCGCAUGUUCACAUGAUUAAAGGUAUUCCGGUAGACGAUGGGGAUGCGUUCCAUUAGAUAGUAGGCGGGGUAACGGCCCGCCUAGUCUUCGAUGGAUAGGGGUUCUGAGAGGAAGGUCCCCCACAUUGGAACUGAGACACGGUCCAA
RNAcentral lists this ribosomal RNA (236 nucleotides) under uncultured bacterium. Its description in RNAcentral is "partial 16S ribosomal RNA". It matches the Rfam family "Bacterial small subunit ribosomal RNA", at positions 100 to 334 of the family's 1533-position model. The record is from RNAcentral.